RNAcentral lists this ribosomal RNA (241 nucleotides) under uncultured bacterium. Its description in RNAcentral is "partial 16S ribosomal RNA". It matches the Rfam family "Bacterial small subunit ribosomal RNA", at positions 90 to 334 of the family's 1533-position model. The record is from RNAcentral.
GGUUAGUGGCGGAUGGGUGAGUAACACGUAGGUGACCUGCCCCGAUGAGGGGGGAUAACUGUUGGAAACGACAGCUAAUACCCCAUGUGAUCGGCGAUUCGUUUUGUCGAUUAAAGCUCCGGCGCGUCGGGAGGGGCCUGCGUCCCAUCAGGUAGUUGGUAGGGUAACGGCCUACCAAGCCGAUGACGGGUAGCUGGUCUGAGAGGAUGGUCAGCCACACUGGAACUGAAACACGGUCCAG